This 22736-nucleotide long non-coding RNA is filed under the name Gossypium raimondii (Peruvian cotton). RNAcentral describes it as "long non-coding RNA (GRAI_LNC002413)". The record is from RNAcentral. Lineage: Eukaryota; Viridiplantae; Streptophyta; Magnoliopsida; Malvales; Malvaceae.
UUUUUUUUUUUUUUAGGUCUUUUUAUAGCAGAAUUUGGUUUUUCUUUAAGGUGCUCAAGUUUACGAAUCAGUUAAGCAAUUACAAGAUAUGGGAUAAGGAUGUAUCUGGUUCUAUUAAUUUCUUAUUAUGACUUCAUAAAGUACACUGAAGAAGAAAAAGUAGUAAUAUGAAUUCCUCAGUUUUCAUUAUUCCAUACUUGAUGUGGUUUAUUCUUCAAAUUGCAGGUGGUGAUGGGGAAAUUACAACAACUCAUUUGCUUCUUGGCAUUUGGUCUGAAGUGGAAUCACCUGGUCACAAGAUAAUGGCAGCUCUUGGCUUCAAUGAUGCCAAAUCUAAGGAGCUCACUUCGAGUUCUGAACCUGACUCUGUAGAUGGGUAGUACAUGCCUUUGGUACUCAUUGUGAGAUGUAAUUAUUCUCGUUAUUCGAAUGAUGAAUCCAUCUUUCGAAUGAUGUUGCCGGUCAUGCCUAUCCAUGCACUCAUAGAAGUUAAAAAAAGAACCUGGCAUUUUGCUUCCCUGUUUAGCUUGUUUGUUUGAGCUGUAUUCUGGAUGGACAUAUGAACAUGAUCAUCGUUCUCCAGCAUUUAAAGAAAGGUGCUGAAUUCUUCAAAUAUUUGUUUGCAACAUUCUUCAAGAUCAUAUCAAGUUCUUCAUAUGUAGAAUUUAGGCUCAUUAAAAUAGGCCUGAAUGAUAAUUCACGAGGAUUAAAAAUUCCUCUGUAUUACACUUAAUGGGUGAAAGCAGAUUGGAGAUUGGUGUUAGUGUCUAUGUUAUGCUGUGUGGCUUGCUUUGAAGCUCUAACAAUCCUAUCAUCGUGUGAUGUUCGUACUUCGUUGUCAUUUACCUUGUUAACUGUUUCCAGAUUCCCAUCAGAGGCAAGUAUAUGUGCCUUAUCGGCUUCUUCAUGCCACCUUAUUCUCACUACCAUCAUCAACAACAAUGCCAAACAUGUUGCCAUCCCAACUAAAAAUCCUAGCAAUAACCCGCUCAGUCCAAGUGCAGCUUUGAAGGCCAGUACAACACCCAACGGUAAAGCUAAGAGAUAGAAGCCCCCAAGAUUGGCAUACAUCGCCAACCAUGGUCGAGCUGUUCCACGAACAAUUCCUCCACAAACAGCUAAGGGGAAGUUUACAACUUCAAUCACUGCCAUUAGCAACAUCAUCUUUUUCACUCCUGUUAUGAUCUCUUUUUCAUGGCUAAAUAGAGGAGCCCAAACGCCUCUUGCACCCACCAUUACCAAUGCCCCAAAGCAACCAGAAAUUGUGCUCACUGCAAGUGAUACGUAUGCUGACUGGUAGGCUGCAACAGGCUGAUUUGCACCGAGCUCAUUUGAUACACGAGUGGAUGCACAUGUGGCUAGUGACAACAUCACAGAGUAGAGCAAGUAGUCGAAGUUCAGAACGAUAGCAAUCACUCCGACUGCCUGCUUGGCAUUUCGUAGCCUUCCGGUAAGCAAGACCAAAAUCUCAUAGCACCACCAUUCAAGGCAGGUGGUAAGACAACAUGGUCCACUAAGCUUGAGCAGUCUAAGGCAGUCUUCAACACGUUGAUCCCACCAGCCUCCCUCAUUCCAUUUCCCUCCCUUUCUAAUCUCUUUCACCACUACAUACAAGACUAGAAGGAUUGCAGCUAUGAGAUCACUUAUCCAGAUUGCCAUUGAAACCCCUUCAAGACCCUUAGCUUUUGCAAGAAAGAUAUUGAUGGGGAUGUGAAAAGCAAGCGCUAAAGCCGAGCUAAACAUAAUGGGGAUUGUUAUGCUUUGAGAGCUCAAAUAGGCCUUGAGAGGGCAUAGCAAUGAAGUGACAACCAAGUCAGGGAGAAGAUAGAAAAGAUAUGUCUUUGCAACUGCUGAAAUGUCUUCUUUUUGGCCAAAAUGGAUUAGAAUUUUAUCAACAUUAAGCCAUAGGAAAGAAAGAGGCAGUGUAGUUAACAGUAACAAGAUUAUGGUCAUCAAAAGUGUCUUGUGAAGGAGCCUGAAGUUUUUAGCUCCAAAAGCUUGACCACAGAUAGGUUCCAUGGCACCACAAAGUCCAUUGAGGACGGAGAAACCUGUGACAUUAGCGAAGGUGAAACCGAGUGUGCCACCAGCUAACUGGAGCUCCCCUAGCCUGCCUAGAAAAGCUGUAGUCACCGCGAUCUUCACAAACCAGGUUAAGUUCAUGGCCACCAAAGGAAGUGCUAGUCCUCUCUGUAUUUUCAGCUCUGAAAGCAUUAUCUGUAUUAGGUUGGCCGGCCAUUUCUUGGUGGGAUAUGAAACUGAAGGUGACUGAGAUGGUUUGUCAGUUGGGAUCUCUUCCACUCUUGAUGUUGCAGUUGCAGGCAUUAUGGAAGAAAAUUGGUGGGGUUGCUUCAAAAUCCGAAUAUAUAAGAUGGGAAAUCUGGUUUCUUAAAUAAGUAUGAAUUGAAGGCUUAGUGUUUGCUAGUGCACGAGUUUUUUGUGAGGAUAUCAGUUUCUGAAGGAGCAAAUAAGGUGCCUAUUUGUUGCAAGUUCGUAACAGCCAAUUAAUGAAAAGAGAGUUGAGCUGUUGAUUUAAAGUGCGUGAUGAUAAGGCAAAGUUCCAAAGGACAAAUCACCUUUAUAUCUCGUGAGAUAUUCGUUUCAGUGGUUUUUUCUUUCCUUAGAAUAUUUACUAUUGCUGCUUUGGAAUAGUUUUACUAUCUAACUAACCUUUCUAUUUAGCACUUGAUUCAUUGCUUAAAUAGUAACUAAGAUUGUCCUGUAAGGUAAUCAACCAGACGCUUUGCAUGCUUUCUUUUGUUCAUAUAGGGCGAAUAUAGCAUUGAAACAAGGGUAGUUGAAAAAUCAUCUCCAUGUGAGAAGUUUUAAGAGGAAACUAAAUAAAGAACAUUAUCACAUAAUAUUCAAGAGAAAAACAACAUGUUUUCAUCUGGUUUUCAUUUACCCUUUACAUUGCAUUGCAAUUCUAAGGGGUAAAAUGAUUGGAGGAUUAAUAUAAUGAAGGUGGGAGAUUUGGUGUAAAAGGCGUAAGCAAUAAUGCGGUGGUCCUUCAUCUGUUAGCUGCUUUGCGUUUUGAGGAUGAAUCGGGUUUCACUAAAAAUUCUAAGCUAUAAGGAACCAAAAGUGGGGUAGCUAUGCCACUCCAUAUCUAAGCUUUUUGCUUUCAUUUUCUAAAGUAAAUAAUAGUUUAUUUAAUAUUCUUAUCACUUCAUAUUUCUUCAGUUUACAUUCAACUGAGUUUACUUCUCUACAUUUGUAUCGUGCAAUUAGGCAGGAGAAUAUGAGGUUGAAUAAAUCAGUUACAUGUAUUCUUACAGAUAAGUGCAGAGACAUGGCUACUUAAUCUGUGGAAAAGAGGAAUUAGAGUAUAUGUCGAAUGGAAUCAAUAGUAUUUUAUGUGAAAAAUUCUUAGGAAUCACAUGUAGAAGGAAUGUAAGGAGUGCUACUUUAACGGAAGCAUUGUAGAAAGUAAUGGCUUUUUCACCGAGGUUUGAUUCCGUUCGGUUUUCUCAAAUUUUUUUCUCAGCCAUAUUGUUCACUAACAGAUUAUAUGUUAUUGCCUUAAUUUAGUAGCCUGAGAGGGAAGAAAACAUUGAGCCUUUCGAGAUAAACAGGAUCCCAAUUACCAUAUCUUAUCAUAGUGGAAGUAAAAGGGGCUAAGAAUACAACUUUGUAAGAUAUGCUAUCAGUGGGAUUUCAAGGAACUAUGCACCACUUCCCAAUAUUAGAAAAAAGGGUACUUUUUCCUAAAAAGGAAGAGGCACCUGGUUUUCUUUCUGUUGGCUUUUCUUUGUAAGGAAGAAAAGAAAGACAAACCAAAGUUUGUGACUUGUUACAUUUUUCAGUUUCAGUACAUAAUUUACAUACAAAGUGUAGCCUUAUAUAGGAAAAAUAUUACCAACUGCAAUUUGACAAGUUGGAAAGCCUAAGAACUUGAAAUUACACAUUGGCAAUAGCACCGUUAAAAUUAUCCUAUCAAAUUUAAGAUAAAUAAAAUAAGCUAACAACUUUUCUAAACAAGUUGGCAACUUGCCAACAUGUAUCAAACAUCGGGAUAGUCUAUAGUACCUCAACUUGGCAUAGUCAGUUAGCAUCUUGAUAGUCAGUUGGCAAUAGCUAGGCAGCUUGCGUCUUGUGUAUCCGCGAGUCUUGUUCGUAUUUGGACAAUCCGCCAGAUAGUCCGCCAAAGGUUGUCAGCUAGAUAGUUCUCCAACUGACAAUCCACCAUUCUUCUUGCAUUUGGCCUAUCCGUCGGAUGACUUACACCAUUGUUGUUCACGGGACUGCAUGUUCUUGAUUUGUUCGCACUUUGCUUGUCCGCCAAAUGUGCGAGCUGUUGCAUGAAUGGGCUCUCAGAACACUUUCAUUUUCACUUUCUAAUUGUAUAGAAAAGAAAAGAUAGAGAAACCAAUCUAUUUUGGUUUGAUGCAGAUGUUGCAGUCCACUAGGUUGGAGAUGUACGCACGGUAGCAUAGUGUUAUUAUCAAACAAAUUAAUGAACUACCAAUCCUCUAUCAUUGAUUGCACACAAAUUUUAUCAUAAUGAGCUGUUUGGAUGCAAUGAAAAUUCAAGUCUCUAAUCUCUAUACAUCGCCCUUCACUGCAGCAAGGGAAAAAAAAUCAACCAUAUACUUCUAUCGUUGGAAAGAUCCAAUGGCCUCUCAAAAGUUCUAAAAGGAUACGAAAUAUACGAAAUAGGUAUGUCGGCAGAUAUUAUUACUAUGAGCAGCAGCAAGUGAACUAGAGAGCAAAAGGGUAGUAAACAGUCGAUUUAUAAUCUCUAUUAAGAUAUGUUCUUGAAAUUGUUCAAGAAAAUUUUGUGUGCUUUCUCGAGAGGCAUUGGCCUUAUUUGAUGAAAGAUGCACGGUCGGAAAUGAUUGAGCAAUAUCUGGCUGGAAAGCCACCUCAUCUUCCAACUUCUUUUGUUUCUCUUCAUCUAAUUAAGCAAUCUUAGGCUAUUCGGAGAUAAGUCCCAAGUUGCAAUUUAUAUCGGUCCUAUAAUAAUUAAGCCAUGAAGAUUAUGUGUUUAGUGAAAGCCACACUGUCAAAGGGCCAACUCCUGUUGGUAAACAUUGCACUAAGUUGAUAAAUCAGGAAUACGAGUUAAAUAAUUUGAGGCAUGUUAGGCACUACUUUUAAGAAUAUUUUGUCAUAAUGUGUAUUUUUAGGACUCAACAAGCUCAUUCGUUAUAAAAAUACGGAAAAGAAUCAACAAUAGAUCACGACGAAAAGUACUUAACAAUCACAAAAAAAUGAAGAGGACGAGCAAGAGAGGAAUAAUAGAGUUUUUUUAUGGUGUGUUUAGAAUGAAAGUGAGCCAAGAUAUUUUAGAAUAGCAAAUGUAAGUUGAGUAAAAUAAAGUAAGAGGAUUUCCCUUAAACAAAAAUAAUUUUAAAAAAUGGUUUAACUAAUUUAGACUUGACUAAAUAUAGCUUCGUAUAAGCUAUUUUUAGCUUUAACCUUUUAGAAAUUUAGUAAAUAAAAAGUCUAGAAACAAAAGGGUUUGGAUGCCGUGAUGUAUCACGUGCGGCGGGGGUGGCGGGGGGAUCGAUCAAUUUACAUUGGUCUUUUGAGCCUAGUUCUCAUGCGUGCUUGAUGGGUUCCGAGUCCACUAAAAAUAAUAUUCCUACACUUAAAUAGUAUAUAAAUAGUAAUAUAUGGAGUAGGGUUGAUCCCACAAAAACUGGGAUAUCUAAAAUUGUUGUUCGAUUUAACCAAGUUGUAUGUUAGGCAACUGUCGUGCCUAAGAUGUGUGACAAUCUGUGUGAAAAUAAAAAGGGAGUAUUAAAUCUAGUUAAAAUGAAAACAAUAGAAAUAAUUAAAAUCAAAAUAGCAGUAAAAUAAACAAAAAUGAAAUUAUAUUGACUAAAUUGAUGUGACGAUGUUCUAACUUUAGGCUCGAUUUUAGCUCCGGUUUUAAACCAAUCUUUAAUAACAAGUUUUCUCAUUUAAUUGGUAAGUUAGUUAUAGUGAUCGAGGAUGCUUUAGACCAAUAACUCUUCCAUGUGUAAAUUAAUUGCGCGAAUGCUCGACAUAUAACCCUUACUGAAUGAACAACCACAAAACACGUAUCCACGAUUUAACUCUUCGGUAGCCUUACGAACUAGAAGGGCCCAACUCAAAUCAACAACCUCAACUGCGUAGAUCGUUUAAAUACCAUUUCCCUUGAUGAAUCCAACCACUCACUCAAUUGAACAUUCCAGUGACGAAGCUAAAGGGGUUGACAGGGUCUUGCCCAUAAAAUAAAAAAUUCCUUUAUAAUUUAUAAAAUUUUAAAUUAAUAAAAAUAAAUUUAUACUUGGUCCCUCAAAUGCUACGAUUCUUAUCCUAGCUAACUACACCUAUAUCACCCAAUAAUUAAUUAGCUUUCUUGUUCCAAUUCCACUCUUUACUGAUUUAAAUAUUGGUUGGAAUUUAUGGUAAGCUUAAUCAAGUGACACUAAUGGGGCCAAACCAAUCAUGAUAUUAUUAUUAUAGUAUUUGAUUUGAUUUUUAGUGGAAUCAGAGUUGUACCUCUUAACUUUGUUUCACUCCAUAAAUGAUGGGUGCAUGAUGACAACACAACUUGAAUAACUUUCCAAGUGAGUCAAGGAAAGAAACACUAAAAAGACAGAGACAGCAAAACGAAAAAUAAAGUUAAAAUUUUCUUGUACUCAAGUUUAAGGCCUCUCAUUUUCUGGUCUCCACUUAACUCUUAUAAUUGCCAAACAAAAUGGAUGGGUUUUCUUUGCCAAAUUUGAAAAUGGUUCCAUAUAAGUUAUCUAUCAAUUGAAAUGCACCCAAAAGUGUUCCAACUAUCUGCAUUUUAGUGUUAUGUGUGAAUUCUCAACCCUUAAGUCUUGUAUACAAAUUAAAUGGUUCCAUAGACAUUUUUGGGAUGGCCUAGGAAAAUCUAAGCUCUGUGCGGUAUCAUCUUCAACACCUCACCGCACUUAAAGAGAUUCAUUGCAUAUUCAGAACUUCAAUGGAGUGUAAGCUUAGCUGGACAUGUUGGGAAACCUAGCACUUUGCUUCCCUGUUUAGCUUGUUUCUUUGAGCUGUAUUCUGAAUGGACAUAUGAGCAUGACCAUUGUUCUCCAGCAUCCCUGUAAAGCUGUUGCAUUCUGCAAAUUCUUGUCUAGGACAUUCUUCAAGGUCAUAUGAAGUUCUUCAUAUGUAGAAUUCAUGGCAUUGAAGCUCUAACAAUCUUAUCAUCGUGUGCUUUUCAUACUUCGUUGUCAUUUACCUUGUUAACUGUUUCCAGAUUCCCAUCAGAGGCAAGUAUAUGCGCCUUAUCGGCUUCUUCAUGCCACUUUAUUCUCACAACCAUCACCAACAACAAUGCCAAACAUGUUGCCAUCCCAACUAAAAGUCCUAUCAAUAACCCGCUCAGUCCAAGUGCAGCUUUGAAUGCCAAAACAACACCCAACGGUAAAGCUAAGAGAUAGAAGCCCCCAAGGUUUGCAUACAUUGCCAACCAUGGCCGAGCUGUUCCACGAACAAUUCCUCCACAAACAGCUAAGGGGAAGUUUACAACUUCAAUCACUGCCAUUAGCAGCAUCAUCUUUUUCACUCCUGUUAUGAUUCCUUUGUCAUGGCUAAACAGAGGAGCCCAAACGCCUCUCGCGCCCACCAUUGCCAAUGCACCAACGCAACCGGAAAUUGUGCUCACUGCAAGAGUUACGUAUGCAGACUGGUAGGCGGCUAUGGGCUGGUUUGAACCGAGCUCAUUAGAUACACGAGUAGAUGCACACGUGGCAAGUGAUAACAUCACAGAGUAGAGCAAGUAGUCGAAGUUCAGAACGAUAGCAAUCACUCCGACUGCCUGCUUGGCAUUCCGUAGCCUUCCGGUAAGCAAGACUAGAAUCUCAUAGCACCACCAUUCAAGGCAGGUGGUAAGACAACAUGGUCCACUAAGCUUGAGCAGUCUAAGCCAGUCUUCAACUCGUUGAUCCCACCAUCCUCCCUCAUUCCAGUUCUCUCCCUUUCUAUUCUCUUUCACCACUACAUACAAGACCAGAAGGAUUGCAGCUAUGAGAUCGCUUAUCCAGAUUGCCAUCGAAACCCCUUCAAUACCCUUAGCUUUUGCAAGAAAGAUAUUGAUGGGGAUGUGAAAAGCAAGCGCUAAAGCCGAGCUAAACAUGAUGGGGAUAGUUAUGCUUUGAGAGCUCAAAUAGGCCUUGAGAGGGCAUAGCAAUGAAGUGACAACCAAAUCAGGUAGAAGAUAGAAAAGAUACGUCUUUGCAACAGCUGAAAUGUCUUCUUUUUGGCCAAAAUGGAUUAGAAUUUUAUCAACAUUAAGCCACAGGAACGAAACAGGUAGUGUAGUUAACAGUAACAAGAUUAUGGCCAUCAAAAGUGUCUUGUGAAGGAGCCUGAAGUUUUUAGCUCCAAAAGCUUGACCACAGAUAGGUUCCAUGGCACCACAAAGUCCAUUGAGGAAGGAGAAACCGGUGACAUUAGCGAAGGUGAAACCGAGUGUGCCACCGGCUAACUGGAGCUCCCCAAGCCUGCCUAGAAAAGCUGUAGUCACCGCGAUCUUCACAAACCAGGUUAAGUUCAUGGCCACCAAUGGAAGUGCUAGUCCUCUCUGUAUUUUCAGCUCUGAAAGCAUUAUCUGCAAUAGGUUGGCCUGCCAUUUCUUGGUGGGAUAUGAAACUGAAGGUGACUGAGAUGGUUUGUCAGUUGGGAUCUCUACCACUCUUGAUGUUGCAGUUGCAGGCAUUAUGGAAGUAAAUUGGUGGGGUUGCUCCAAAAUCCGAAUAUAUAAGAUGGGAAAUCUGGUUUGUUUAAAUAAGAAAGAAUUGAUGGCUGAAUGCCUGCUAGUGCAUGAGUUUCGUGAGGGUAUCAAUUAUUGCAAGCUCGUUACAGCCAAUUAAUGAAGAGAGAGUUGGGUGGUCGAUUUAUAGUGCGUGAUGAUAAGGCAAAACAUCUUCACAUUUCGUGAGAUAUUCGUUUCAUUGGUUUUUCUUUCAUUAGAACGUUUACUUUUACUAUCUAAUUAACCAUUCUCUUUAGCACCUGAUUCAUUUGAUUAACUAGUAACUAGGAUGUCGUGUAAGGCAUCCAAUCAGAUGCUUUGCAUGCUUUCUUUUGUUCAUAUAGGGCGAAUAUAGCUUUGAAACAAGGGUAAUUGAAAACUCAUCCCUAUGUGAGAAGUUUCAAAAGAAAACUAAAUAAAGAACAUGAUCACAUAAUUUGCGAGAGAAAAACAACAGAAUGUUGACAUCUGGUUUCAGUUGCCAUUGCAUUGCAAUUAUAAAGGUGUACAAUAAUUGGAGGAUUAAUAUAAUGAAGGUGGGAUAUUUGGUGUAAAAGGUGGGAGCAAUAAUGCUGUGGCUUUUGAUGAAGAAUGGGGUUUUGCUGAAAAUUCUAUGCUAUAAGGAAUCAAAAGUGGGGUAGGUAGGCCAGUCCAUAUCUAAGUAUUUUGCUUUCAUUUUCUAAAGUAUGUAAUAGUUUAUUUAACAUUCUUAUCACUUCAUAUUUUAUCAGUUUACAUACAACUUUAUAGGAUAUAUAUAAAACAGAACUAAGUUAUAACUUCAGUGUUAAAGCUGUUGGAUGCAUUGAUAAAAAGUAUUGCAUCUCCUUUUAGAGCACUCAAGUUAAAAUUUUGAAGACGAAAUUGUUGAAAGAGAAAAUCAUAUAUUUGUAAAAAUUAAUAAUUUAAAUCAUAAAACGAACAUGAAGGAUACUUUCAUUAUACAAAAAAAAAAUUUACCUCUCUCUAAGAGUCGUGCAAUUAGGCAGAAUUAGAGUAUAAGUUCAAUGAAAUCAGUAGUAUUUUAUGUGAAAAGUUCUUAGGAAUAUACUGCCAAAACGCUAAGGAAUUAAUCACAUAUAGGAGGAAUGUAAGGAGUGCUACUUUAACGGAAGCAUUGUGCAAACAGAUUAUGUUAUUGGCUUAAUUCAGUAGCCUGAAAGGUAGGAUAACAUAAGACUUUUUGAGAUAAACAACACCCCAAUUACCAUAUCUUAUCAUAGUGAGAGUAAAAUAUUCAAUCAUUGGGAUUUCAAACAACUAUGCACCACAUCCCAAAAAAGGGUAUCUUUAUUUUUUUAGAAAAAAGAAGAGGCACCUGGUUUUAAUUUCAUUUUCACUUUUUAAUAACAUAGAUAAGAAAUGAUAGACACCAAUCUUAUUUGGUUUGAUGUAGAUGUUGCAGAGUCGAGUAGGUUGGAGAUGCAUGCACGGCAGCAUAGUGUUAUUAUCUAAUUAAUAGACCAUAUGUUGAAAGUUGGCAACAAUGCAUCAACAAGCAAAUGUCCAAUAUGUAAUUGGUUGAUUAAAUUUUUUUGUAAUAUGUGAUUUAUGUUUAGUUUGUUUGUAAUUUUUGUUUUGCUAAAGAUUAGUCAAAUACUUAGCUGAUUUAGUAGCCUCUUAGGUUAUUAUUAAGCUGAUUUUACAGUUUGGAUACUAGCACAAGUAAUGUUUUGUUUUCUUCUAAUGUAAUGAAGCUACUUAUGUACAUGUAAUGUUGCUUAUUCAAGUAAUAAGAGUUGUAUUUUCCUCUCAACCAACGCCUGUUUUGCUUCUGUUUUUCAUCUUUCAAACACAAAUUUUAUUUAUUGUUUUUGAUCUUUGUAUGCUGACAUAACUCAACAAAUGGUAUCAAGAGCCUGUCAUCUUUGAGGGCCUUUUGCUGUGUGUUGUUCAUUUUGAGUGAUCCGUGCUUGAAAGAAAAGAAACAUAAGCUGUUUUUGUUGGUUUGUUUAGUUGUUGCAAAAGAAUGAGUUUCUUACCACCACCACCAGCACCACCUGUUUUUGCUGGUGAAAAUUACAAUAUUUAGGCUACGAAAAUGAAAACAUACCUGCAGGCUUAUGAUCUGUGGAGUGUUGUUCAAGCUGACACAGAGCCACCACCUUUGAGAGCUAAUCCAACCAGCUCAAAUUAGGCAGCACAAUGAGGAUUGUGCCAAAAAGUAUAAGGCUAUGUCAUGCCUUCAAAAUGGAGUCUCAGAUGUAAUCUUCACAAGGAUAAUAGCUUGUGACACUCCAAAGAAGGCCUAGGACAGACUCAAUGAAGAGUUUCAAGGGUCAGAUAAAACUAGGCAGCAGCAGUUGAUCAACCUAAUGAGGGACUUCGAGAAUCUGAAGAUGAAGGAGUCUGAAUCCAUCAAGCAGUAUUUUGACAGGAUUAUGGCUACAGUUAACAAUAUUAGGCUUCUUAAGGAUGAUUUCAGUGACAAAAGAAUAGUUGAAAAGGUCAUUACAACUCUUUCUGAGAAGUAUGAGUCAAAAAUCUCUUCCUUGGAGGACUCUAGGGACCUAUUAGCUAUAUCUUUGACAUAGUUGAUAAAUGCUCUCUAUGUACAAGAGUAGGAAAGGGCAAACAGGAUGGAGGAGCAUUCUGAAAGAGCCUUUCAGGCUAGAAUCAAAGAAAGAUCAAGGUCGAGCUCAAGUUACAAGGGCAAGAAACCUUGGUUUGAAAAGAAAGAAAAAGGAAAAUAAAGAUGCUGCAAAAAAGAAGUUUCCACCAUGCAUUCACUGCAAGAAGUCCACUCAUUUAGAAAAGUAUUACUGGUAUAGGCCUGACAUUCAAUGUAGAAGUUGCAAGCAACUUGGUCACAUGGAAAAAGUUUGUAAAAACAAGGAAAAAACACAGUCAUAGCAAUAGAAUCAAGCUCAAGCUAUUGAGGAUGUUCAAGCUCAGGAGGAGCAUAUUUAGACUGCUUAUUGUUUUGCAAGUUCGAGCAAGGUCAGAAAUAAUUAGUUGAUUGACAGUGGUUGCACUUAUGUAUCAGACAAAGGCAUGUUUAGGGAACUAGAUACCAGCUUUGUGUCCAAGGUCAGAAUUGGGACUGGUGAAUUCAUUGAGGCCAAAGGCAAAGGGAAAGCAGUGAUUUGCACUCAAUCAGGUAAUAAAACAAUUUCAGAAGUUCUUUUUGUACCAUAUAAUGACCAGAAUUUACUUAGUGUUGGUCAGUUGUUAGAGAAGGGUUAUUCCCUUAUUUUUGAAGGAAAAACUUGUGUGAUUAAGGAUCUUUUUGGUCAAGUGCUUGUGACAGUAGCUAUGCAUGACAGAUCCUUCACUCUAGAUGUGAAUCAGUUAGAAGCAAAGGCAUAUAUUACUCUAACUGAUGAAUCAUGUUUGUGGCAUAAGAGAUUGGGACAUGUGAACUAUAAGUCACUUGAUUUACUGCAUAAGAUGAGCCUAGUUGAAGACAUGUCCAAUAUUGAGCCUAAAAAUGAAGUAUGUGAGGCCUGUCAGCUUGGCAAGUAGACUAGACUACCUUUUCCUAUUAACAAAGCUUGGAGAGCUCAAGAGAGGCUCUAACUAGUCUAUACUGAUAUUUGUAGACCUAUAAAGACCUCCUCUUUAAAUGGCAGCAAGUAUUUUGUGUUGUUCAUUGAUGAUUGCACCAGAUUCUGUUGGGUGAGUUUUUUGAAUCAAAAGUUAGAGGUGGCUGGUUUCUUUUGCAAGUUUAAGGCCUUAGUUGAGAAUCAAGCAAGUUGUAAGUUGAAGGUAUUGAGGUUAGAUAAUGGGACUGAAUAUGUGUCUCAAAAGUUUCAGGAGAUUUAUGAUGAAGCUGGAAUUCAGCAUCAGUUAACCAUCAUCUACACACCAUAGUAAAAUGGUGUUUGUGAGAGGAAGAACAAAACUGUUCUUAAUAUAGCCAGGUGUUUGUUGUUUGAAGGGAAAAUGCGUAACAUUUUUUGGGCUGAGGCAGUAAAUACCUCUGUGUAUUUACUCAAUAGACUACCACCAAAUGUAGUCAAAGGCAAAACACCAUUUGAAGCUUGGUUUGAACACAAGCCUACUGUCUUACACCUGAAGGUGUUUGGCUGCAUAUGCUACACACUUGUGCCAGCUGAAAAGAAAACCAAGCUAGAAAAGAGGUCCAUGCCUAGAGUCUUUAUUAGCUAUAGUAGCAUAAAGAAAGGGUAUAGGGUCUUUAAUCCAUCCACUAAAAGGAUUGUUGUGAGCAAAGAUGUAAAAUUCAAUGAAGGCAACUGUUGGAAAUGGGAUGGAAUAGAUGCAAGCCUGUCUGAGCAAGACCAGUAAGAUCUUGACUUGCAACAUAUUGAGAAUGAAGCUGAAAUUGAGGAAGUAUAUGAUGAUGUACCUGUCAGAGUUACAAGGACUAUUAUGGACAUCUCUGAAAGAUGUGAUAUGACCAUUGUUGAGCCUUUCAACUUUAAUGAGGCUACAAAGGAGGGUUGCUGGAAAAAACAAUGGAGUUAGAAAUGGAAAUGAUUCACAAAAAUGAUACAUGGGAGUUGGUUGAUAGGCAGAUGGAUUUUUCCAGGAAGAGAUCUUUGUUGAGCAGCCAGAUGGAUUCAAGGUUCUUGGUGAAGAGCACAAGGUUUACAUGCUCAAGAAGGCUUUGUAUGGCCCAAAACAGGCUCCAAGGGCCUGGUAUGACAGAAUUGAUGCCUACUUGUCAAAGCUGGGGUUCGAAAAAAACAUUAGUGAGCCUACACUCUAUGUGAAGAAAUUUGAGAAAGAAACUUUACUGAUUGUGUCAUUGUAUGUGGAUGAUUUACUAGUUACUGGUUGUAGGAAUGAAUUGAUUGAAGAAUUCAAGAAACAGAUGCAAGAUGUCUUUGAGAUGACUGAUGUAGGUUUGAUGACCUGCUUUCUUGGUAUGAAAGUAAAUAAGAAUGAGCAUGGCAUCUUCAUAAGCCAACAUGCUUUUGCUCUAAAGAUUUUAAGCAAGUUUUGCAUGGAAAACAACAAACCUGGUAGCACUCCUGUGGCACAAGGAGAAAAACUCUCCAGCAAUAGUGACCAUGAACGAGUGGAUGAGAAGGGCUAUAGAAGUCUAGUUGGUUGCCUGCUCUAUUUAACAGCAACAAGGCCAGAUAUCAUGUAUGCAGUCAGCCUUCUAUCAAGGUUCAUGCAUUGUUAAAAUGUUGCUCAUUUCAAGGCUGCAAAAAGAGUCUUAAGGUAUGUCAAAGGGACCUUAAGCUAUAGAGUGAAGUUUGUGAAGGUUGAGGAGCUGAAACUGGUUGGCUAUUCAGAUAGUGACUGGGCAGGCUCAAUUGAUGACAUGAAGAGCACAUCGAGCUAUUUUUUCACUUUAGGUUCAGGGGUUUUUUGUUAGAGUUCUAAGAAACAACAAACAGUAACUCAAUCCACUGCAAAGACAGAGUACAUUGCAGCUGUGACUGCUGUUAAUCAAGCCAUUUGGCUUAGAAAACUUUUGAGUGACUUGAAUGUUGAUCAAGAGGAAACAACAGAGAUCAAAGUGGAUAACUAGUCAGCUGUUGCUAUUGCCAAGAAUCCUGUAAUUCAUGGCAAGACCAAGCACUUUAAGAUCAACUAUUAAGGGAAGUCAAUUUGACUCACUGCUGUUCGGAGGUUCAGCUUGCAGACAUUCUGACCAAGCCACUAGCUAAUGCAAGGUUUGAGUAUUUGAGGAAAAGAAUUGGAGUCUGCUGCUUUGUGGCCAAUGAGGAGUGUUGAAAGUUGGCAGACCAAGCACUUCAAGAUCAAGUAUCAUUUUGUAAGGGAGACAGAACUAUCAAGGGAAGUCAAUUUGACUCACUGCUGUUCGGAGGUUCAGCUUGCAGACAUUCUGACCAAGCCACUAGUUAAUGCAAGGUUUGAGUAUUUGAGGAAAGGAAUUGGAGUCUGCUGCUUUGGGGCCAAGGAGGAGUGUUGAAAGUUGGCAACAAUGCAACAACAAGCAAAUGUCCAAUGUGUAAUUGGUUGAUUAAAACUUUUUGUAACAUGUGACUUAUGUUUAGUUUGUUUGUAAUUUUUGUUUUACCAAGGAUUAGUCAAGUACUUAGCUGAUUUAGUAGCCUUAGGUUAUCAUUAAGCUGAUUUUAUAGUUUGGAUACUAGCACAAGUAAUGUUUUGUUUUCUUCCAAUGUAAUGAAGCUACUUAUGUACAUGUAAUGUUGAUUAUUCAAGUAAUGAGAGUUGUCAAUUUUUCCUCUCAAUCAACGCCUGUUUUGCUUUUGUUUUUCAUCUUUCAAACACAAAUUUUAUUGUUUUUGAUCUUUGUAUGUUGACAUAACUCAACACCAUAUCAAUCCUCUAUCAUUUGAUUCUACACAAAUUUUUACAAUAAUGAGCUGUUUUGAUGCAAUCAAAGUUCAAGCCUGUAUACACAUACUCUUGAAGUUAAUGAUUGGCAGGAUUCGCUGCUGCACUAUAAGGGCCUUAUUUGAUGAAAGAUGCAUGGUCGGAAAUGAUUGAGCAAUAUCUGGCUGGAAAGCCACCUCAUCUUCCAACUUCUUUUGUUUUCUUUAUCUAAUUAAGCACUCGUAGGCUAUUCAGAUAAGUCCCAAAUUGCAAUUAUAUGGAAGCUUUAAUAAUUAAGCUUUGAAGAUUGUGAAGUUUGUGCAAAGCCACACUGUCAAAUGGCCAAUUCCGACCCCAUAAAUUACAAAAAGAAUCAGUCAAAGCAAUGAAAAGGGAUUAAGGCAAAGACCAAGGAUACCCCAUAGUGUUACCAAUUCUCUAGUUUUGAUUGCAGGGAUAAAGACCAAUAACCUAAAUUCAAUCCACCAUUCUCAAUAAGCUAUCUCCAUACCCAAUCUGUGACUAAAAACAUCAAUAACUUCCAUGAGAGUUUAUGGUAAAGCUUAAUCAAAGUAUACAAGCUCAUUGACACUAAUGGGGGCAAACCAAUCAUGAUAUUAUUAUUAUAGUCUUUGAUUUAAUUUUUUAGUGGAAUCAAAGUUGUACCUCUUAACUUUGUUUCACUCCAUAAAUGAUGGGUGCAUGAUGACAACACAGCUGGAUUUACUUGCCAAUUGAGUCAAGGAAGGAAACGCUAAAAAGAUAGACAGAGACGUAACACAAAAGAAGAAAAAUAAAGUUCAAAUUUUCUUGUACUCCUCUUAAAUCUUUGAUCAUUGCCACAAAAAAACAAGAAUGCAAGAGUUUUAUUGGUUUCAAUUUUGAAAAUGAUCCCAUAUAAGUUAUCUAUCAAUUAAAAUGAACUCCAAGUAUCUGCAUUUUAAUUGUUAUUAGUGAUAGAUUUUGAUAAUGAAUAUUGUACCCAUUAACAUUUAUUGAUAGCAAAAUAAUUGUGGAAGAAAGCUACUUCAUGAUUUAAUUAAAGCUACAUUCAAACAUUUCACAGUGUCAAUUAUGAUGAUAAUGAUUUAUCUGUAAUUAAUUCAUUUGAGAAAUCAAAUUUCAACAGGACAAAUCAUGUAAUGAACUUUUAAAUGGGCCGUUCUUGCUAUGGAAAUUUGGAUCAAUUAAGUGGAUUCGUCUCAAUCUUGGGCCACUUAACAAAUAAUUUUGCUGCAAAUCAGAUUCAUUUCAUGAAUAUACAUACUAAUCAGUUCAACAAAUACUUACAUUAAUGUGUUAUUGUAUUGUACACAAUAAUCAUAAUCAAGAAUGCAAUAUUAUACCCGACAAAACUCACAUUACGGUUUACGAAAACUUAUUAUACACCGUCGAUAAAUCAUUAACCACAUUAUUUAAUAAUUCAUAAAAAUCAAUCAACGAAUUGCUUAGCACUUGUAGUUGAUAAUGGCAAUGCACUUACCUCACGGUUUUGUCAUUGCACGUGUAGAAACCACAAAUUUCGUUACUUAAUAAUAUGAGAUUUCAAGAGCAUCUGAUAAUCAAAGUUGACUCUUAGAUUAUUCCUUAUUUUAAAUCAUAUAUUUAUUAGUCUCCAAUCCUAUGUCUUUUAAAUUUCAUAGCAAAUGUACUCUUUUUUCUAUUAAAAUAAAUUCCCAUAAUUCUAUUUCAGAUAUUGCCUAGCUUUUAAACACACAUGGUUCAUUCUUUAGGCUUACAUCAAUGCUUCUUAACAUUAUAGCACCUAAUGAUGCUGUCUACUUUUCAAUGGUCAUUAUAAAAUUCCUACUAAAUUCAUGGACUACACACCUUAGCUAGGCUAUUCAAGUUUCUAAAUUCUCAACAAGGUUUUUAAUCAACCAUUUUGAUCUUGCCUUUGCUUGGAAUGUCACCACUUUCCUUUGCUUGAAAUUUAAACCAAUAACAAAAUCCAAGCUAAUAAUUACUAUGAUGAGGGGAGAGAAUAUCAUUAAAAUAAAACAUAUUAAAUCAAAUAGUAAAUUAGUUAUUUUUGUUAAAAUUUUUAUUUAUUUCUAGUUACUGUACAUCAACAUGAAGUACGUGUGGCAUGCCAUAUGUUACUGUUUGAUUAUUUUAUCAACUAUAUUAGUUUUUAAUAGUACAAAUAGAUAAAAUUUUUAACAAAAAAUAAAUCUACUCUUUGAUCUAAUAUAUAAAAAUUAAUUUACUCAUUUUAAAAAAAUACAAUCGACUCUCAUUACAUAAAUCUAUAAAACUUUUACCUCACCUCAUUAUUUCGAUUGGCCCCAAUCGCAAUAAUAGCAAGAGGGAGAGAGAGAAUGGCUCCUCAAUCAGACUUUUCAAAGCCAUGCAAACUAAGGGCGUCGCCAAGGGGUUGGCAAUGGCCCCAAUACUCCUUAAAAUUGAAAAUUUUUAUUUAGGUCUUUUAAAAUUUUUAAAAAUUUAAAUUAGUAAAGAUAAAAUUUCACUUUGACGUUCUAAAAAUGAUUCAAAUCUGAUUUAAUAUUUUAAAAAUGAUAAAUAUAUAAACUAUUAAAAUGAUGAAAUUGUAUUUUUACUAUCGUAAAAAUUACCAUUUAAUUUCGACUCCUCCUAAAAAUAAUUUCUAACUUUACCCUUGAUGCAGACCAAACAUAAAAAGUGUCUCCAUAUUAUAAUUAACUUCAUUUUCUCUCUCUCUCUCUUUUAAAAAAAAAUUAAAUUUGAAAAUAGAAAAUCAUGAUUUUAUGAAGACCAAUAAUUAAGAUUGAAAUACUAUGUAAUAUUACAUGUUGAUAUGUUACUUAAAUAUGAUUCAAAUAAAGUUUUCACUAUUCAGUAAAUCGUUAUCGAAUAAAUACUAAUAAAAUAAUAUUAUUAAGGCUUUUUUCAGAUAGUUGAUGUGUUUAUCUUAAGUGAAGUUAAAAAUAAUGGUUAUAAUGAGAUUAAUUAUCGUAGAAAUAAAAUUAAAUAUUGUAGCGGUGAAAUUAAAAUCAACGUGGGAUGUGUGUUUAGAUCCAAAUGCAGAUGAAGUAGAAAUGAAAAUUGAUUAUUAAAGAUAUUAAUUUAAAGUAUGGUUAUAAUAUAAUAAAUAAUUAUUUAAUAUCAUUAUAUAUUAACGCCAUUUUUUAGUUACAUUGGCACACCAAUAAAUUUAACCUAAAAAAUUAAUAAUAUUAAUAAUUGAACCUAAAUUUUAAAAUCUAAAAGUAGAGAUUAAAUUUCUAAAAAUAAAAAUAAAAUAAAAAUAUAAUGAUUAAAAUUUAAAUUUGUGAAAAGUUGACUGACUUAUAACUUAUUUUAACCAAUAUAAUAUUAUUUGAAACCCAAGUAAUAUUUUGCCUACGUACCUCUAGUUUCAAAGGCAGAUCAGCCAAAUAAAGGUUGUUAUUAUUAGGUUAUGACGUAGGUUCAUGCCCUCAUUACAAAUUUAGAAUUUUAUCUAUUUAUUUUUAAUUUUAGGAAUUCAAUCUUUCUACUUUUUAUAUUUCAAAAUUUAUGUAAAACUAUUAGUAUUGUUUUCUUUUCUAUUAAAUUUGUUGGUGUGAUAUUUUGUAAUUAAUAAAAUUACUUACUUGGUAGUGAUGAAACUGAAAAAUUACAUUGUCGUAACUCGUAUCCGUCCCCAGAAUAGGGUUUCGGAGCAUUGCCGAGUAACCAUAAUCUAAUUCAUUCAUUUCAAAACAUUUCAAAAAUCAUAAUAUAAUUCAUCAUUAACAUGCAAAACAUCCCUCAUUCAAGCCUUCGAGGCCUAAAAAUCACUUUAAAAAUGUUUUGAGACUAAAUCGGAAACAUUUAAAAAUUUUAGGAAAAAGUUAGAAAAUUUCAACUGGAGAACUUAGCAGAGAAUAAAUCAAAAAAAUAAUUCAAUGAUAACCAAGAAGACAAACAAUACAUAGGAAAGAAUCCACCUAUACCUCAUCUAUCAUUAUGAAUCUGAAUUAAAUGAUUUAUUCACUUGGUAUCUUGAUUCGUAAAAAACCCUAAAAUUAUGCUAAUAUCUCUUUCAAGAGUAAGAGCAACUAACUCUAGGUUGAUUAAUUGAAAUUUCUUUCUAAUUAAAACCCUUAUUAUCGCAUUAAUUCGAUCUAUGGAUUCCCCUAUUAGAUUUGAGUCUAACACGGUAGAUUUAUGUCGUCCUAUUUCUAGGAUUGCAUGCAACUUCACUUAAUUAUGCUAGAUUUACUCUUAAAUAGGGACUUUUCCUCCUCUGAUUUAAACACAUUAAACAUAAAUUAAUAUCUUAAUAAUAUUAAAACAAGAAAUAAACACACAUAACUGAUAACAAAAUUCAAGUAUUUAUCGCAUAAAACAAAAAUCAAAUAACAAAAUUUAUCAUAGGUAUCUAGAGAAUUAGUUCAUAAUUGUAAAUAAAAACAUCUCUAAGACAGAAUAACCACAAAAAAUAAAGAAACUCAUAAAAACUUCAAAGAAAUUAAAAGGAUGUCUUUAAUCUUGAUGGAAAUCUAUUUCAGAGUUGGCUUCAAUGAUGUUCUUCGAGUUAUUUUCUUAAAUACUCUCUGAUCGCCUCCUCUUCUCUUCUUCUAUUUGGUAUUUAUAGACUUUAGAAUGCCAAAAAAGCCUUCAAGAUUUGACGAUAGAAAGGUUUGGUGGAAUAGAAGUCUUGCCAGACUGGUUGGGAAAUCUCUCUUCUCUAAGGCGUCUAUAUUUGAGUGGUUUUGGAAAGCUAAAGAUUCCUCACCAACUUCAACUCCUCACUGCCCUUGAAGAUUUGACUAUGCAGGGGUUUCAUGAAAUAUAAGCCUUGCCAGAAUGGUUGGGAAAUCUCUCUUCUCUAAGGCAUCUAUAUUUGAGUGGUUUUCGGAAGCUAAAGAGUUUUACUCACCAACUUCAACUCCUUUCUACCCUUUAAUAUUUAACGAUAGAAGAGUUUCAAGGAAUAGAAGCCUUGCCAGAGUCAUUCAGAAAUCUCUCUUCUCUAAGGAGGCUGAGAAUCCGUUCAUGCAAGAAGCUCAUGUACCUGCCUUCUGUAGAUGUUAUGAGAAGCCUCCCCAAAUUAAAAAGAAUUGACAUUGCAAAUUGUUCUCAAUUAGAGACAAGAUAUGAGAGGGAGAGUGGCCCUGAAUGGUCCAAGAUUUCCCACAUUCCACGUAUAUAUAUUAAUGAUCAGCGGUAAGUUCAAUAUCUUAAACCACAACACUCUGCAUCUUUUGGCCUUUGAUGAAAAAUAUAUCAUUUUCACUUUGAAUCCUUCUUAUAAUUAUCUAUUCCAUUUGUUCUUUUCAUUCUAAGACGUUUUGGUGCCUUAAUGGCAUAUAUAAUUUUAAGGAAAAACCUUCGAGUAUAGUGAGUGGCCGUGAAUGGGGAAUCACAUUUCACAUAUAUGUAUUAGUUUACGAAUGUAAGUUCACAACUGCAUCUUUCGGCUUUUGAUAUAGUAUAUACUAAUUCUCUAUUGAUACUGUUUAUAGUUAUUCCCUUUGUUCUUCUCCUCCUAAGCUACUUGGUUCAGUCUCAUAUAAAACCUUCUUUUAAAAUUAUUUGGCUUUUGUGGCAUAAUGUUGCACGAUUUAGUUUGGGCAUGGAUACUUUUGAGCCUAUCAGUUCGAGCACCAAAUUAUGAAUUGAAUCUACGGACACAAAAGUAAGUUCUGUUUCUAAUUUCCUUUCCAUGAAAAUUAUGACAUUUUUCCUUUCCAUCUUAUUGCUGCCCUCUCUUACGAACUUCACAAAUCAUAUUGUAUUGUAAGUUAUCUAUAUUCAUUUAAGGUAAGUGGUGUAUGACCAUUGAUAAAAUUUCCAUGGAUAUUUUAUAAGGAAAUUUCUUUCUUUUCGAACUUUUAUUCUUUUGUAUUUGAGAAUCAUAGAUCAUGCAACCAAUAAAGGCCAGCUUUGAUUUGCAAUUGUGAUUGGAACUUUUGGGAUUGACAACAAAUUCACCAUACUUUGGAUUCUAAACAGAAGCUUCCUUGCAAGAACUGAUGUUAAGUUGUGAUCAAUGAGGAAGUUUCUUGCAAGACUUCGAGUUCCUUCUCAUUCAAUUUAUGGUACUUCAUUCUAUGGUUAUCUUUGCAAUUUACAAACUGACUUAUGUUUUUAUUUGAUAAAGAUUUUGUGGUUCCUAAUUUAAGGACGGUGAGAUUUUCUGUUUUAACCUUUUGUUAAAACAAGUACUGCUAACAUUUCAAGAAUUAUCCAGUGUUCACCCAUGAAAUUUCUGAACUUGAGUCAGAGUGAAUUUAUCUUGUUUUCAACAUUGAAGAGCUAUAAUAUAAAAGACAGCUUUGGUUCAGCAAUGCGACGUUGAACAACUCUUCGAUCGGAGGUUCGUUCGAUAUAUGUAUCAGCUGAUAUUUGGACAAUGGUUGGAAUGUUUGAGGAUUUCGAUUGUGUACAGCUGGAUUUUUCAUCAGGAUUUUGUAGCUUCAGGUUUUCUUGUUUCUCUUUGCUUGAAAUUAUUUGUUGAUAGUUUUGUUAAAGUUUGUUGUGACUUUGUAUUGUGAUUUUGUAGCAAAACUUUUGAGUAUAGUGAAACUUUUACGACGUGCCGUAAUUUUUACUUCCAUAAAAAAAAAUUCUAGCAAUAAACAAUAAUAAAAUUUCGGGAGCAGAAAGCGCUAACAAUAAAUCAACCACACACCAGCGCGUGAAAUGCUAAUAGAAUUCCCAGGGGCACAAGCAACCCGCACAAUAAUCAUAAUAAAAAAUAUACUCGACAAAACUCACCCUACAGUUUACAAAAACUUAUAUUCCAUCGAUACAUCUUUAACCCAACUAUUCAAUAAUUUAUACAAAUCAAUCAUCGAAUUACUUAACACUUGUAAUUAAUAAUGGCAAUGCACUUACCUCAAGGUUGUCGUUGCAUGUAGAAAGCACAAAUUUCGUUAAUAACAUGAGAUUUCAAGAGCAUCAACUGAUAAUCAAAAUUACUUAGCUUAUGCCUUAUUUUAAAUCAUCUAUUUAUCAGUCACCAAUUCCAUGUCUUUUAAAUUUCAUAGCAAAUAUACUCUUUUUCUUUUUCUAUUAAAAUAAAUUCCCAUAAUUCUAUUUCCGAUAUUGCCUAGCUUUUAGACAAAUAUGGUUCAUUCUUUAGGCUUACAUCAACAUUAUACCACCUACUAUAAUACUAUCUAUGUUGCAGGCCAUUUUGCCCGGGCCCAGUAAUAAACCCCCAGCCCAAAGCCCAUCAAAACUAAUACAAACCCAAAACAAAUUAAACCCAAACUUUCAAUACCCAACUAACUUAAACAGCCCAAAUGGCCCAACCAAAAAAAAAAGGAAACAGAAAACCCUAGCAGAAAACAGAAGAACCCUAGGCGCCGCUCCUAGGGUCUUCUGACUUUUGGUCUUCUGCCCACCUGCUCUGCCAGCAACCACCGCCAACUGCCACCGUCACUUCCAUCCACGUGCGUUGAUCCCUGCAAACAAAUCAAGGCAAGCGAGACAGGCAUAGGCAUAGACUAGGGAUUUCAUGUAAAUCGGCUUUAAAAGCCGAAACUAAGAACAUGUAAAGGGGGCUUUUUGUUUUUAUUUUCGGUAAAAAAAAACGAUUCUAAAACCGAUUGUAUCAGAUUUCAAUAGAUAAAAAGGAAAAGAAAAAGAGAUUGAAGAAAAUUUUUGGUAUAAGCUUUAUUUUUCUUUUGAUUUUUCUUCCUUUCGAACUGUUUGUAUCCUUCAUUUUUAUUUUUCUUUUACUUAAAAAAAAACUAUAUAUAGCAUAUAAAAAAAUUACCUUUGGGAUUUUCCGGCCACCGUACGACGGCGGCCGGUGGUGUCGACGGCGAUUUCCCUCGCUGGAUUUUGGGCAGUGCUGGAGGGAGAGAGGAUUUUUUUGAAGAGAAAUCAUUUUUUUUUCUUUGAAAGAGCAGAAAAU